RNAcentral lists this long non-coding RNA (216 nucleotides) under Panax ginseng (ginseng). RNAcentral's name for it is "long non-coding RNA (PGIN_LNC019057)". The record is from RNAcentral. Lineage: Eukaryota; Viridiplantae; Streptophyta; Magnoliopsida; Apiales; Araliaceae.
AAAUGGUUAACCGGAUUGGAACCAUAACCAACCUGAAUAAAUAUGGUUCCAAAUUUAACCAACCUGAAUAAAUAAAAAUGGUUAACCAACCCAUUUGGUUCCAGUUAAUAUGGAUUGACCCGACAAUUAACCAACUAUAUUGCCAGCUCUACCAACAACCCAAAGCCAAAGCCCCCGACUGUGAGCAAGCAGAUAACACACUCACAAAAGUGGCUG